GAUGAGCGCUGGCGGCGUGCCUAAUACAUGCAAGUCGAGCGAACAGACGAGGAGCUUGCUCCUCUGACGUUAGCGGCGGACGGGUGAGUAACACGUGGAUAACCUACCUAUAAGACUGGGAUAACUUCGGGAAACCGGAGCUAAUACCGGAUAAUAUAUUGAACCGCAUGGUUCAAUAGUGAAAGACGGUUUUGCUGUCACUUAUAGAUGGAUCCGCGCCGCAUUAGCUAGUUGGUAAGGUAACGGCUUACCAAGGCAACGAUGCGUAGCCGACCUGAGAGGGUGAUCGGCCACACUGGAACUGAGACACGGUCCAGACUCCUACGGGAGGCAGCAGUAGGGAAUCUGCCGCAAUGGGCGAAAGCCUGACGGAGCAACGCCGCGUGAGUGAUGAAGGUCUUCGGAUCGUAAACUCUGUUAUUAGGGAAGAACAAAUGUGUAAGUAACUAUGCACGUCUUGACGGUACCUAAUCAGAAAGCCACGGCUAACUACGUG
RNAcentral lists this ribosomal RNA (496 nucleotides) under uncultured bacterium. Its description in RNAcentral is "partial 16S ribosomal RNA". It matches the Rfam family "Bacterial small subunit ribosomal RNA", at positions 28 to 507 of the family's 1533-position model. The record is from RNAcentral.